This 240-nucleotide long non-coding RNA is filed under the name Eucalyptus grandis. RNAcentral's name for it is "long non-coding RNA (EGRA_LNC007667)". The record is from RNAcentral. Lineage: Eukaryota; Viridiplantae; Streptophyta; Magnoliopsida; Myrtales; Myrtaceae.
AAAGAAAAAGAAAAGAAAAAAAUGGUCCCAUCUCUCUCUCUCUCCUCCUUCUCUCUCCUCCCUCUCUUCUUCCUCUCUCUCUCCCGUGCGACUCCUCCAUCUCCAUCUCCAUCUUCUUCAUCUCCUUCUUCUUUGAAAACCCAGCAACCAGCAAGUUGGAGAAGCCGCACGCCUCCGCCGUUCACCGCCGUCGCACGCCCCCUCCGCCGCUCGUUGCCGGCCGCCCCUCCGACCGCUCGC